RNAcentral lists this long non-coding RNA (14049 nucleotides) under Homo sapiens (human). RNAcentral describes it as "long non-coding RNA NONHSAT175312.1". Lineage: Eukaryota; Metazoa; Chordata; Mammalia; Primates; Hominidae. The record is from RNAcentral.
UAGAGACGGGGUUUCACUGUGAUAGCCAUGAUGGUCUCGAUCUCCUGACCUUGUGAUCUGCCUGCCUUGGCCUCCCAAAGUGCUGGGAUUACAGGUGCGAGCCACUGCGCCCGGCCUGUAGUGGUUAAUUCUUAAUACUUUGGGGGUCACAGACUCCUUUGAGAAUCUUACCUAAGCUACAGAACCUCACCACAGAAAAAAGCACAUAAUCACUUUUUUUAUCAUUUUAUGAAUAUUUCACAUUCAUCAUGAUAAUUUCACCUGGUCAAGUGGAUAUUAAACGAUAAGUAAAGGCUCAUAUAUGUGUGGAGAACUAGUGCAUACAGAAUUAUGGAGAAAUGAUGGUGGAUCAGUGGAGCAACUGGGGAGCUGCUGGGGCACAGGAGAGUGACAGGACAGGGGCUCAGCAUGCCUCCAACCCAAUCAGCAAAGCAUCCACACUUCCACAGCACUGUGCUGGGUGGGAAAGCUUGUUCUUGCCCUGGCUGAAAGACAAGAUGCAAGCGAUAUAGUGCUUCAUCAAUGUUGUAGACCGAACAUUUAUCUCUCUCCAAAAUGUAUAUGUUGAAAUAGAAUCUCCAAUGUGAUGGUAUUUGGAGGUGAGGCCUUUGAGAGGUAAUUAGGUCAUGAGCCUUCAUGAAUGGGAUUAGAGCCUUCAUAAAAGAGACUCCAGAGGGCUCCCUCACCCAUCUGCCAUGUGAGGAUACUGAGAAGAUGACCAUCUACGACCCAGGAAGCAGGCUUCACCAGACACCAAAUCUGCCAGCGCCUUCACCUUGUCCUUCUCAGCCUCUAGAACUCUGAGAAGUGUUUGUGGUUUAAGCUGCCCAGUCUAGGGUGCUUUUGCUAUGGCAGCUCAAACUGCCUAAAGCAGUCAGUAACCUCAGGAUAGGAGUGGGCUGCCAGGUGGAACCCUCCCGAAAGGUUUCUGGAUGGAAGAUUUGAGUCACUUAAAUAUAUAUCAUGCAUCAUGUGUGCGUGAAGAGAGACAGAGAGAGGCGGGUGGGGCAGGAGAAUAUGUACUGCCUCGUUAUGCAUGCUCAUAUAGUCCUGAUUUGUUAUGCUGUCAUGUGAUACAUAACAAUGUUUGGGUCAACAAUGAACCACAUAUAUGGUAGUCAUCCUAUAAGAUUAUAAUACCAGGCCAGGCACAGUGGCUCACGCCUGUAAUCCCAGCACUUUGGGAGGCCUAGGCAGGCGGAUAACCUGAGGUCAGGAGUUCAAGACCAGCCUGGUCAACGUGGAGAAACCCUGUCUCUACUAAAAAUACAAAAAUUAGCUGGGCUUGGUAGCGUGCGCCUGUCAUCCCAGCUACUCGGGAGGCUGAGGCAAGAGAAUCACUUGAACCCGGGAGGCGGAAGUUGCAGUGAGCCUAGACCCUGCCAUUGCACUCCAGGCUGGGCAACAAGAGCAAAACUCCAUCUUAAAGAUAAAAAAGAUUAUAAUACCGUAUUUUCACUGUACCAUUUCUAUGUUUAGAUACACAAACACCACUGUGUUACAGUUGCCUACAGCAUUCAGUAUACAGUACUCAUCAUGCUGGAUGAGUCUGUAGCCUAGGAGCGACAGGCUACACCAUAUAACUUAGGUGUCUAGUGGGUUAUACCAUCUAGGUUUGUGUAAGUAUACUCUGAUGUUAUCACAAUGAUAAAGUCGCCUAGCAAUGCAUUUCUCAGAAUGUUUCCCUCUUGUUAAAUGGCACAUGAGUGUAUUUCAGUUUCUUUCUUUCUUCUUUUUCUUUCUUUCUUUCCUUCUUCUUUCUCUCUCUGUUUCUUUCUUUUUCUUUUUCUUUUUUUUCAUGGUCAUUCUCUUUCACCCAAGCUGGAGUGCACUGGUGCAAACACGGCUUACUGAAGCCUCAACUUCCUGGGCUCAAGCAGUCCUUCCACCUCUGCCCCCCAAGUAGCUGGGACUACAGGCACACACCACCAUGCCCAGCUAAUUUUUUGUUGUUGUUGUUUUUGUAGGGAUGGGGUUUCGCCAUGUUGCCCAGGCUGGUCUUGAGCUCUUGAGCUCAAGCAAUCUGCCCACCUUGGCCUCCUCCCAAAGUACCGGGAUUGCAGACAUGAGCCACCUCGCCCGGCUAUUUCAAUUUCUAUAGUGCUAGUAAAAAUCCACUAAAUUGUUUAUCCAACUCAUCAAUAAGUUCAACCCACAGUUUGAAAACCCUAGUCUAGAUUUUUUUCUUUCUAUUCCCUUCAGUAUGAACAUGAGAAAGGCUCAUCAUCAUUCCAUAUUUGAUAUUUUGACAUAAAUCUGCUGGAUUUAGUUAAAUUACAGUUCUCCCAAAUAAUCAGGAGAAAUUUGACUAGAACUAUCUUGGUAUUGCCCAUGGUUGUUGCUUCUCUUUGACAGUAAACCAAAAAAUUAAGCGCAUGGUUAUGGAGUCUGACCGCUUGAGCUGGCUGCCCCACCUGCCUCAGUUUCUUUAUCAAUAUCUGGGACAUCAUCAUCUUAAUAGUAACUGCCUCUGGGUAAGCCAUGUAAGACAAAUUAACACAAGGCCUGGCACAUAGUAAGUGCUCAAAAGAUGUUGGCAACUAUUUUUAUUUAUUUAUUUAUUUAUUUAUUUAUUUAUUUAUUUAACUAUGUAUUUAGUGACGGAGUCUUGCUCUGUCGCCCAGGCUGGAGUGCAGUGGCUCACUGCAAGCUCCGCCUCCCUGGUUCACGCCAUUCUCCUGACUCAGCCUCCCGAGUAGCUGGGACUACAGGCGCCUGCCACCACUCCCGGCUAAUUUUUUGUAUUUUUAGUAGAGAUGGGGUUUCACCGUGUUAGCCAGGUUGGUCUCGAUCUCCUGACCUCGUGAUCCGCCCGCCUCGGCCUCCCACAGUGCUGGGAUUACAGGCGUGAGCCACCGCGCCCGACCUAUUUAUUAUUUUUUAAACUGUCAAUGUUGUUGUCUUACAGCGGAGACCUGAAAGCAGCUUAGCCAUGAGCAGCGCUCAAAUAAGGAAAGAAAUUCUUUGCAAUAAAUAGGGAUCUUUGAAAGGUUUUACGUUGGACCCGCCUUACCGUGGACAGACACUAGAGGGUGCUCCUCGCUCAGAAAGCCGAGUGUUUCCAGGCCCGGGACCUCUGCCAGGAAGCGCUUCGACUGCCGGUUCUGAAACUCUCUCUUUGGGUCUGGUAAUUUACUGGGGAGAACUGGCUGCUGCCUUGGUUCUGAAACUAAAGGCUUUUUACGGAAGUAGGAGGAGACUGCAAGAGGCUAUAUGGAGCAGAAAUGUGGCUCCUUCAAACUUUCACCAAUUGGCGUUCUGCCGGACUGUGACUUGGAGGAUUCCAGCAGUGUCUCAUUCACCCAUGAGCCCCAGGGUCUAGCACACAUAGUGUCUGGCAGACAGUGAGCGCUUUGUAAAUAUUUAUGGAAUGGGACCAACCGAUGGAGGCGUCUGAGACCUAAAUAAUUAUAAUUACAAAUUGGCAAGUGCUGGCACGAUGACCACAGACCAUUAAGGGCGCUCCCAGAAGAGUGGGGGCUGGGGAGGAUUGGCCAGAAUGGCUUCCUGAAAUUCAGGAGCCCUGGCACUCUCUGGGGUACACAGAAAAGAUCUUCCACAUCCGGCUUUUGGAUAUUUAAAAACAGCUUCAUGCUCCAUUUUUUUCAUGUCCUUCCUGUGGAAUGAUUUCUAGGCUUUUCACUAAGUUGAUCGCUCCCUGCAGACUUGUAGGAAGGCAAAUAAUAGGUUAGCACCUACUGGGUUCAAGCAUCUCCUAUGAUCUCCAUUAUCUGAUUUAAUUGUGUCUUUAUCUCAUUUAAUCCCCACAACAACUCUCUGAGACUAAGGCUAUUAUCCACAUUCUACAGAUUAGAACUUGGUAAGGUUUGAUAACUGGCCCAAGAUCACACCAUUAGGGAGUGACAGGACCAGUAUUUGAACCCAGAUAGUCUAGCAGCAAAAGAUGCUUUUAAAAAUUUUCACUUAAAAGAAUAACAACAACAGCAACUAACAGUAUGGAGGGGGCCAGAUAGUUUUCUGUGUUUUACAUUUAUUAACUCAUUUAAGUCAUUUAAUUGCUAUACACCUAGAUGUCAUCCUUUCUAUUAAUACAUUGUUAGUACUGAAAAGUGAAGAGAAUGAUACAACAAACACCCAUGUACUCAUCACCUGGCAUGAAAAAAAGGUUAAUGUUAAAGUUGAUAUUAUCCAGCCACAACAAUCUUGAAAAAGAACAAAGUUGGAGAACUUGGCCCAGUGCGGUGGCUCAUGCUUGUAAUCCCAGCAUUUUGGGAGGCCAAGGCGUGUGGAUUGCUUGAGCCCAAGAGUUCAAUACCAGCCUGGGCAACAUGGUAAAAAUACAAAAAAUUUCUACAAAAAAAAAAGUUUCUACGAAAAAAAUACAAAAAUUAGCCUGGUGUGGUGGUGCUCGCCUGUGGUCCCAGCUACUCAGGAGGCUGAGGUGGGAGGAUCACCUGAGCCCAGGGAGGUUGAGGCUGCAGUGAGCCAAGAUAGCACCACUGCACUCCAGCCUAGGCAAAAGAGCAAGACCUUGUCUCAAAAAAAAAAAAAAAAAAAAGUUGGAGAACUUACACUUUCCAAGUUCAAAAGCUACAGUAAUGAAAACAAUGUGGUACUGGCAUAAGGAUCAACAUGUACAUCAAUGGAAUAGAAUUGAGAGUCCAGAAAUAAACCUGUAUGUUUACGGUCAAGGUAUCAAGACAAUUAAAUAAGGAAAUAAGUUUUUUUCCCCACAAAUAGUGCUGGGACAUCUGGAUAGCCACAUGCAAAAGAAUGAAUUUGGACUCCUAUCUUUUAUUGUCUACAAAAAUUAACUCAAAACGAAUCAAAGACCUAAAGAUAAGAACUAAAACUAUAAAACUCUUAGAAAAAACAUAGGUGUAAACCUCUAUGACCUUGGAUUAAGCAAUGGUUUCUUACAUACAACACCAAAAGCACAAUCAACUGAAGAAAAAAUAAAUCAAUUAGACUUCAUCAAAAUUAAAAAUUUGAGUGUCAAGGCCCUAUCAAAGUUAAAAGAUAAAUCACGGAAUGGGAGAAAAUUUUUGCAAAUCAUAGAUCUGGAAAGGAUCUUGUAUCCAGAAGAUAGAAGAGCUGUUUUUCUGUUGUUGUUGAGACAGAGUCUUGCUCUGUCAUCCAGCCUAAAGUGCAGUGGCAUCAUCAUAGCUCACUGCAGCUUCCACCUCGUGGGCUCAAGCAAUCCUGUCACCUCAGUCUCCCGAGUAGCUGGGACUGUAGGUGUGCACCACCAUGCCUGGAUAACUAAAAAAAAUUUUUUUUAUAGACGAGCUCUCACUAUGUUGCCCAGGAUGGUCUUGAACUCUUGGCCUCAAGCGAUACUCCCACCUCUGCCAUCCAAAGUGUUGGGAUUAGAGUGAGCCACCUCAUCCAGCCUAUAAGAACUCUUGUAAUUUAAUAAUAAAAAGACAAAUAACCCAAUUUAAAUUUGGGCAAAUGACUGGAAUAAGCAUUUCUCCAAAGAAGAUAUACAAAUGCCAAGAAGCACAUGAAAAGAUAGUCAGCAUCAGCCAGGCAUGGUGGCUCAUGCCUAUAAUCCUAGCACUUUGGGAGGCCAAGGCAGGUGGAUCACCUGAGGUCAAGAGUUUGAGACCAGCCUGGCCAACAUGGUGGCACCUCGCCUCCACUAAAAAUACAAAAAUUAGCCAGGUGUGGUGGCAGAUGUCUGUAAUCCCAGCUACUCAGGAGGCUGAGGCAAGAGAACUGCUUGAACCUGGAUGGUGGAGGUUGCAAUGAGCCAAGAUCGCACCACUACACUCCAGCCUGGGCAACAAGAGCAAAACUCCAUAUCAAAAAAAAAAAAAAAAAAAAGAUACUCAGUAUCAUUAACCAUUAGGGAAAUGCAAAUCAAAACUUUCAAACCCACUAGCAUGGCUAUAGUUUAAAAGACAAUAACUAGUAUUAGCAAGGAUGUAGACAAAUUGGAACCCUCAUAAAUCACUAGUGGGAAUAUAAAUAGGUGCAGCCUCUGUGGAAAAUGGUUUGGGAGGUCUUCAAAAAGUUCAAUAUAGAGUUACCGUAAGACCUAGAAAUUCCACUGCUAGCUAUAUACCCAAAAUAAUUGAGAACAUUAUAUAUACUUGUACAUGAGACCAGGAGCAGUGACUCACACCUAUAAACCCAGUACUUGGGGAGGCCAAGGCAGGAGGAUCCCUUGAGCCCAGGAAUUUGAGACCAGCCUGAGCAACAUAAUGAGAUCCUAUCUCUACAAAAUAUAAAAAAUCAGCUGGAUGUGGUGGUGUAUGCCUAUAAUUCCAGCUACUGGGGAGGCUGAGGUGGGAGGAUCGCUUGAGCAGAGGAGUUGGAGGCUGCAGUGAGCUAUGAUCAUACCAUUGCACUCCAGCCUGGGUAACACAGCAAGACUCUGUCUCAAAAAAAAAAAAAAAAAAGGUGUAGCUGGAUGCAGUAGCUCACGCCUGUAAUCCCAGCACUUUGGGAGGCCAAGGCGGGCAGAUCACGUGAGGUCAGGAGUUUGAGACCAGCCUGGCCAACAUGGUGAAACCCUAUCUCUACUAAAAAUACAAAAAUUAGCUGGAAGUGGUGGCGCACACCUGUAAUCCCAGCUACUCAGGAAGCCAGGAUGGGAGAAUCGCUUGAACCCAGGAGGUGGAGGUUGCAGUGAGCCGAAAUUGUACCACUGCACUCCAGCCUGGCCAAUAAAAUGAGAUUCUGUCUCAAAAAAAAAAAAAAAAAGAUACAUAUACAUAUACAUGAAUGCUCAUAGCAGCAUUAUUUAUAAUGACCAAAAGGUGGAAAUGUAUCAGUCCAUUCUCACACUGCUGUAAAGAAUUGCCUAAGACUGGGUAAUUUAUAAAGGAAAGGGUUUUAAUUGACUCACAGUUCCGCAUUGCUGGGGAGACCUCUGGAAACUUACAAUCAUGGCAGGAAGCAAAGGAGAAACAGGCACCUUCUUCACAGGGUGGCAGGACGGGAGUGAGUGCAAGCAGGGGAAAUGCCAGAUGCUUAUAAAACCAUCAGAUCUCCUGAGACUCACUCAUUAUCAUGAGAACAGCAUGGGGGAAACCACCCCCAUGAUCCAAUUACCUCUACCUGGUCCCGCCCUUGACAUGUGGGAUUAAUACAAUUCAAGGUGAGGUUUGGGUGGGGACACAGAGCCAAACCAUAUCAGGGAACAACCCAGGUGUUUAUCAGUCGACGAGUGGAUAAACAAAAUGUGGUCUGUUCAUGCAGUGGAAUAUUAUUCUACCAUAAAAAGGAAUGAAGUACUGAUACAAGCUACAGCAUGGAUGAACCUUGUAAACACUAUGCUAAGUGAAAGAAGCCAGUCACAAAAGGCCAUAUAUUAUAUGAUUCCAUUUAUAUUAAAUGUUCAGAUAGGCACAUUCAUUGAGAUCUGUGGUUGUCAGGGGCUAGAAGUAGGGAGUAAUGAGAAAUGACUGCACACAGGCACAGGUUCUGGAAUUGGAUAGUAGUGAUUGUUGAACCGCCUUGUGAAUCUGCUAAAAAACACUGAGUCAUACAUUUGUAAAUGGUGAAUUUUAUAGUAUAUGAAUUAUAGCUCAAUAAAAAAAGAGAGAGAAAAAAGUUGAUAUUUUCUUCAUAGAUAGCUCCAUGGUUCUCAAACAUUUUGGUCUCAAAACCCCUUUAGACUCUUAACAAUUACUGAGGGCCCCAAAAAGCUCUUGUUUAUGUAUUUUGUUUUUGUGUGCUUAUGUUCAAUAUCCAUUGACAUUUACCAUGUUAGAAAGUAAAACAGAAAUUUGUAAAAAUAUGCAUUAUUUCCUUUAAAAUAGCAUUAAUAAACCAUAUGCUGUACAUGUUAUCAUAAAUAACAGUUGAAAAAUAAUUGUAUUUUCCAAAACAAAAGAAUUAGUGAGAAGAGUGACAUUGUUUUGCAUUUUUGCUGUCAAAUGUCUGGCUGAGUAGAAGAUAGCUGCAUUCUCUUACCUGCUUCUACUUACAUUCAAUGUGUUGAGAUAUGUUGUUUUGGUUGAAAUAUAUGAAAAAAGUCUGUCUUCACACAGAUACGUGGUUGAAAAAAGGAAGACUAUCUUAAUAGCCUUUUCAAAUAAUUGUGGAUAUUUUUCUUAGAUUACAUACCAAAACUGGACAAGUAUAGUUUCUUAAAGGUUAAUUGCAAUGUGGAACCUGAAACCAUAAACUUUUCAAUUGGUCUAUCAUGAUCAUGUACUUUUUUUUUUUUUUUUUCAGACAGAGUCUUACUUUGUCGCCCAGGCUGGAGUUCAGUGGCACAAUCAGGGCUUACUGCAGCCUCAACCUUCCAGGCUCGAGUGAUCCUCCCUGCUCAGCCCCUGGUGGGACUACAGGGAUGCGCCACCAUGCCCAGCUAAUUUUUUUUUAGUAGAGAUGGGUUUUUGCCUGCCUGCCUGCUUUCCUUCCUUCCUUCCUUCCUUCCUUCCUCCCUUCCUUCCUUCCUUCCUUCCUUCUUCAGGGUCUUCCUCUGUCACUCAAACUGGAGUGCAGUGGUAUUAUCUCAGCUUACUGCAACCUCCACCUCCCGGGUUCAAGCAAUUCUCAUGCCUCAGCCUCCCAAGUAGCUGGGAUCACAGGUAUGUGUCAUGAUACCUGGCUAAUUUUUGUGUUUUUUCUAAAGAUGGGGUUUCGCAAUGUUGACCAGGCUGAUCUUGAACUCCUGGCCUCAGGUGAUCCACCCACUUCGGCCUCCCAAACUGUUGGGAUUACAGGCGUGAGCCAUCAAGCCUGACCUCAAGUUCCCUCUUUCUAAUCUGGAAUUGAGAAUAGCACUAGCAUCCAGGCCCACCUCAAAGGGUCAGACUGAAGUUCAGAUGGCCCAAGGAUGCACUAGAAAGUUCUUUAUGCAAUGUAAAUGAGAGUUGCCUACUCUUGUCAGGCUCAAGUACCUUCACUCUACAGGCAACUGGCUACAGGCUUCUCACCCUGAGCGGUGGUCAGCUCAGCCAACUCACCCUCUCCACCCUCCUCCCUCCCUCCUUUUUCACAGGAAACUUAAGAGUCAGAUCUCUUCCACUGCAAAUGGAGAUUCUUGAUUUGGAGAGAAUAAGAUAAAGGACCUGACAUCAAUCCUUACUCUUGAAAGCAUGUUGUUACUUUCUAAAUAUUAUUGAAAUUAAAAAAAAAAAAUCUUCCCCCCAAAUCAGUAUAUUUGAAUUGCUAACAAGCCUCUCUGCCUUGUUUUUAUCUCAAAGAAUAAAAUGCUGAGCCCUGCGUGGGAUGCUAGAUGCUAGAGAACUCCCCCAUCUCUCUCUCUCUCUCUCUCUCUCUCUCUCUCUCUCUCUCUCUCUCUCUCUCUCAGUUCUGAACAAGGAGGGAAGGGGUAAAGAGUCCUUAGUGAGCGCCUUCUGCAGGGACAACCCUUCUGGACCCAUCUGGAUGGGAGCAGCCAGGAGAGGCAAGAAGCAGCUGUAUUUGGUGGCACUGCCACAGCGUCUCCUCAGCCCCAGCAAGUGGCCUUUGGUCUAGAGUUGGUCCAUCUGGCCCGCACAAGGCUCGAAUCCAGCCCUAGAGACGCUCCCCGCCUGCUCCAGGUGGCCGGCACCCUAGACGGGGCAGGAAGGGCAGGCGCCAAGCCUCAAGUCUCAAACACGGUGCGGGGCUGCGCGGCAAGGAGAAACCCAGGAGAUGCUCGGGGUCGGGGCCCAGGGCAGGGAAAACCCUCAGCUCUGGUCAAAAGCCAAGUGAGCGAAGGAGGCGAUGCAACGUCACCCUGGUGGCCAAGGCAGGCACCCAGGUCUCGAGGUUCCAGGAGAGGGACGCGCUGUGACCACCAGCCCCCUAGGCUCCUGUCUGCUCGAUGAGCGUCCACUCGCCAGUUCCAGCCGCGAGCGCCCCCAGCACUCCCGGAGCUGGGCCGGGCGCCGCCUUCCCUCGGGCGGCCGGCAGGGGUCAGUGUUUGGCCGCAGGUGAACAGACAGCGGCCGGGGCUGAAUCUGGUUCUUCUAGCUGGGUCUUGCCCCUGCCAAUCUGUCUGGACUUGUCCCCUGGCCGUUAACUGGGUUCUAGCCUAUCGAGACUCCUCAUAUUCUCCCCACCCCCGACCACUACCUCCAUACUGUCCUUCCUAAGUCACCAGGCCUGCACCCUUCCAGAAGCAUAGAUCCCUGGAUACAUGGAUAAUUACUUCCUGGCCUUAUACCAGACAGUGAUGCGAGACUGGAAAGAGGACAUGGCACGGAGUCAGAAGAUUUGAGUUCAAGUUCCUGCUCUGCCAAUUACCAGCUGUGUGAUCUUGGGCAAGUCACUUUACCUCUCUGUGUUAAGUUUCUCAUCUUCAAAAAUGAGCUAAUGGCAAUAGGAAUGGCUAUGAUGCCACAUGCCAAGGACUUAUAUGCCAUAUACUGUGUGUGUUAUCAUCUCGAGGGUUUAAUAGGAGGAGACUAUGGCCCAGAGAGAUGAACAAGCAGCAGGAAGUAGCAGAGCCAGCCUCUGAACCCAGGUCUAUCCAUUUCUACCAUGUUAACCUGCUUUGCAGGGCUGUAGUGAGAAUUUAAAUGUGGAAUUUAUAUUAUUCUCUUCUGGCAGUUUGGCCUGGAUCCUGGUGGGUGAGCUUUCCCUCCUACUAACAGGGGAAGCAGGGAAAGGCAUUUUCAAUUAUUAGAAACAUCCUUAGUUAGUGGGGUAUGAAAUGAAAAUAGCCCACUAGAAUACAAGCUUCAGAAGGGAAGAGGUCUCACCUGUCUUGAGUCUGUUGCUCACAUAAUUCCUGAUAUAUAGUAGAUGCACAAGCAAUAUGAAGAAAUGUAAACAUGUGUACACCUCCUACCUUCAUUAUAAGAUGGAUUCUAACACAGAGUCAUUUUUCAUACCAACCGUGCAAUUACCAGGCAAGUGAUGCUAAUUACUAGUUCUCAUGACCACUAUUGAGUUUAAUUCAAGAGUUUUAUUGGAUCCCCUGAAGCUCCUACAACCCUCUAAAUCAUGGGGAUUCAAUAACAGUCUUUUUAUCAGUAUGUUCACAAGAUAAAUUGAGUAAACCAGCUUAAUGACUCAUCUUCAUGACUUAUGACGUUAAGAAUAAGAUGGGGGGAAAUGACAAAUGUGAUAAAAACUGAUGGCUCUGAGAAAAUGUCAUGGGCAUGUGGUUCUGAAUGCUCUCCCAUGUGGCUCUAGGGGCCUCAGCAACCUUCAGUCCCGUGUCCACCCUCACUCCGCUUCAAUAAUCAAUUUGUUCUUAUCCAAAGCAUUUUUGAGGACCUUGUUACUCUUCUUCUCUGUGUUAAUCAGGCACACAGGCCUAAAAUAUCAAAUCCUAGGCAGAUGCAUGAACCCACAGGACAGCAACAUCGGGAGGGCAGAGUAGAGGCAGGCUUCAGUUCAAAGCAGGCAUAGGCUUGGAGAGGGAAACUGGGAAAUGAAAACAAGUUGUCUAUAUAGACUCUCUCCCUAGAAGUCCAUUUAAAGAAAAUAGAAGCUCAGUAAAAUCAAAAUCCAUGGGCAGUGGUGCCAUGCAAAGAGCAAAGACCUGAAUCUGAGUCUUGGAUCAGUGAGCGUCUUAGCUUUGCCUCCAAGCUCCAGUUUCCUCCACUCUAACUGGGGACGUAUUCUCUCCUCUCUCCUGGUUUCCUCCAGUUUCUCUGAACAUUCUUUUCAUUUUGGUUGUGAGUUCUUCUGCUGCUCUCUCCUGCACCCUUGGUAGGUUCUAUGCUGACUUUUAUUUUUCUCCUCUUAUAUGCUCUUGUUGGAAAGUCUCAUCCUUUUGUGAAUCCAACUGCUGCCCACGUGGGGUGAUUCCCAGGUUUAUGUCACCAGUCCUGCCUUCUCUACUACUCUUUAAAUUUGAAAACAAGGGCCGGGUGCAGUGGCUUAUGCCUGUGAUCUUGGCACUUUGGGAGGCCAAGGCAGGAGGAUCACUUGAGGCCAGGAGUUUGAGACCAGCCUGGGCAAUAUGACAAAACCUCAUCCCUACAAAAAAUACAAAAUUAGCUGGGCAUGGUGGCAAGCACCUGUAGUCCCAGCUACUUGGGAGGCUGAGGCAGGAGAAUCACUUGAACCCAGGAGGCAGAGGUUGCAGUGAGCUGAGAUCGCAUCACUGCACUCCAGCCUGAAUGACAGAGUGAGACAGUCUCAAAAAACAAACAAACAAAACCCAACUUUGGGUCACGCAUCCAUCCUUGACCAAUUAGCUGUAGCUAGGGAAGUGGAGUCCUACGGACACAGCAAACCACCACGAGAAUCAUGGAGAUGAAUAGGGGCAGGAUAAUUUACCAGAGGAAGCCUAGAGUGGAGUGCUGGACAGACCACCAUGUGGAGUUGCCAUCUGAGGACAUUGCUACUUGGAUACCCCCACAGGUAUUUCACCAUCUUCCCCUGAACUCAUAAUCUUCCCCUGAAAACCUGAAUCUCCUCUUCUCCUAACCCCCAUGAAGGGGCUGUCAUCUACCAAGUCACCCCACCUAGAGAUGUGAGAAUCAUUCUGGAAUCUCCCUCUCUAUCACGAACCCCAAUACUUCUAGCUAAUCACCAUGUCUCUCUAAUUCUACUUUCUAAAUAUUUCUCUUGUCCAUGCUACUUCUGUUUUCUGAGCUCAGGCCCUCCUCAUAGAUCUGGAACAUUGCAAUUGCAAUAACUUCUUUCUUUCUUUCUUUUUCUUUUCUUUCUUUUUUUUUUUUGACAGAGUCUUGCUAUGUUGCCCAGGCUGGAGUGCCCAGCUAAUUUUUGUAUUUUUAUUAGAGACAGGGUUUCGCCAUAUUGGCCAGGCUGGUCUCGAACUCCUGACCUCAAGCAAUCUGCCCGCCUCGGCCUCCCAAAGUGCUGGAAUUACAGGCGUGAGCCACUGCUCCUGGCCUGCAAUAGUUUCUUAGCUGGUCUCUCUGCUUCUAGUCAUGCUCCCCUAAUCUACUGUCCUCACUGCUGGCAGCCAUCUGCCUUUGUUUUCCUAAAUGAAAUAGAUUAUUUUCUGAUUAUAUUAAAAAUACAUGUUCAGCCAGGUAUGGUGGCUCAUGCUUAUAAUGCCAGCACUUUGGGAGGCUGAGGCAGGAAGACUGCUUGAGGCCAGCCUGAGCAACAUAGUGAGAUCUCAUCUCUACAAGAAAUUUAAAAAUUAGCCAGGCAUGGUGUCACACACCUGUUGUCCAAGCUACUGGGAAGACUGAGGUGGGAGGAUAGGUUGAGUCAUGGGAGGUCAAGGCUGCUGUGAGCUGAGAUCCUGCCACAGCACUCCAGCCUGUGUGACAGGGUGAGACCUGUCUCAAAAGAAGCAACAACAAAAGACAUGAUCAUUUUAAAAAUUAAUAAGGAAAAAAAUAAAAAGAAUGUAAACUUUGCCUAAAAUUUUACCACCGUGAGAGAACCAUGUUAUUUUGGUGAUCAUUCUUCUUUGCAUUUUUUAUUCCUAUUUUUAAAAAUUACAUAUCAUACACGCAGUGAGUGGGUUUUUUCCACUCUCCAGCUUCAUUGCAGGACAUGCCUUGCCUUGCACCUUAAGGCUGUAAAUACGGAGUUGCCUAUAAUCUCUUUGAGUACACCAUGUUGUUUCUCACCUCUCUGCCUGUGGUUAUACACCCUGUAUUAAUUUCCUAGGGUUGAAGUAACAAAGUGCAGGACUUAAAAAUAGCAGAAAUUUAUCCUCUUACAGUUCUGGAAGCUAGAAGUCUGAAAUCAAGGGGUUGGCAGGACCAUGACCCUUCCAGAACUUCCAGGGGGAGGAUCCUUCCUUGCCUCUUUCAGUUCCUGGUAGGCCCAGGCAUUCCUUGACUUGUAUAGCAAAACUCCAAACUCAUGUGAUCAUCUUCAUGUGGCCAUCGUCUCUGAGUCUGUGUGUCUCUCUGUCUUCACAUGGCAUUAUCCCUGUGUGUCUGUCUCUGUGUCUAAAUUUUCUUCAUCUUAAAAGGACGCCCAGCCAGGCAUGAUGACUCACAUCUGUAAUCCCAGCACUUUGGGAGGCUGAGGCAAGAGGAUUGAGGCCAAGAGUUCAAGACCAGCCGGGGAAGCAUAGUAAGUCCCUGUUCUCCACAAAAAUACAAAAAUUAGUCCCAACUACUUGGGAGACAGGCAGAAGGAUCACUUGAGCCCUGGAGAUAGAGGCUGCAGUGAGCUAUGAUUGUACCACUGCACUCCAGCCUGGGUGGCAGAGCAAGACUCUGUCUCAAAAUAAAAAGAAAAAACAAAAAA